RNAcentral lists this long non-coding RNA (7173 nucleotides) under Piliocolobus tephrosceles (Ugandan red Colobus). RNAcentral describes it as "lncRNA (ENSPTEG00000025557.1)". Lineage: Eukaryota; Metazoa; Chordata; Mammalia; Primates; Cercopithecidae. The record is from RNAcentral.
AUGAAUAUACAACGUUCUGAACCCUAUGAAGGAGAUAAAACUAAAAGAGACAUAAAAAAAAAAACAGUGCAAACCCACAUAGUAAACUUUAAUGACCUAAACUUUAUAAAAAAUAAUCUAUAUAUAAAAUUAAAAAAAAAUAAACUAUUAAACAAAAAUGUGUUAUUAAUAUAUAGUUUGUUUGUUUUAAUAAAAUUAUAUAGCAUAUGUAAAGAUAAUUGCCCUAAUAUAAAAUUCGAACAAUUUUUGUUUAUGGAUAUAUACGAACGUUUAUGUUUAAUAACUGAUUUUGAUAUUACUUGCAUUUCUUAUGAAUGUAACAAAAAAAUGCAUAUAAAUUUAUUUUUUAAAAAACUGCAAGAUAUUUUUAAAAGUUAUCGUUUUAUUGAUGAACAUAUUUUUUUAUUAUCAGUGAUAAUGGUAAGACAAAAAGAUGCACAAAUGACCCAAUCGAAUGUACAAUCCGAAUCAUCAUUAUCACUUAACCAAUGUUACAAUAUAACAAAUUUAAUAUUUGAAAAUAAUAUAAUAAAUUUAAAUUAUAAAAGCGCAUAUACAUUUUUGGAGGCAUUACACUUGAACACUCUCUAUUCAACACAACAAUUGUUCAUUAUAUUUUGCUUAAAAACGUUAAAAAUGAUACAGUUAAAGCACGUCAACAGUGAUAAUUACAUUAAAAGUAAUACUACCCAUAUAAAUUCGACACUUACUAAUUCCACAUUUAACAAAUAUGUAUUAAAAAAACAUGAACAAAAUAAGUGUAUACAAAUAAACUCAAAUAAAUUAAAUAAAAAAAAAUUAGCUACCUUUGAUGAAUUGUUUAAUUUUUUAAAAUAUAUAUACUAUGUAUAUAAAAACAAAUUAAUUUUAAAUGAUGAUUAUGAAUAUACUUUUUUGUUUUUAAUCAUUUUUUAUAAAUAUAUUUAUAGUAAUUUACUUUAUUUUAUUACCAUACUUAACGACUUUUAUAACUUGUUCCCUAAAAAUAUACAAAUUAAAACAAACAAAUAUGAAAAACAUUUCAAAAGGUGUUUACGAAGUGAUUUUUCCUUAAAGUUUUCAAAACAUAUGUUAUUCGAUCCAAAUAUUUAUAAAGAGGUACAAAAAAAAAAUGAUAUAUUAGACGGAAAUUACACUUAUGAUCAUGUUGGACAUACUACUACAGAAACAGAUUGUUUUAAAUUAACAAAUUUAUUUAAAAAAGAUAUAACUGAUAAACAUAUUGUUAUUUAUGACGAACACCUUGAGCGUAUCAUAAAUUUAUAUUAUUAUGACAGAGUUUCACAUGGGUAUGCGAAAGAAAUGUAUCAUAUACAGACUACUAACGAUAAAAAAAAUUCAUAUGAAUUAACAAGUGGAAGAAAUAAUAUACUAGAAGAACGGAACAAUUGGAUACAUACAAAAGUAAAUGACACAGUUGAUAAUUUUUAUCUAAUUGAAUCGUAUCUAGACAUAUAUGAACGACAUUUAAACGCAUUAGACAUUAUAAAACAUUUUAAAAAUAACUUUUGUAAAACAAACGAUACAGAGUUGACAAUAAAUAUAGAUAUAAUGAUUAAUAGUGAAAAUGAUACAAAAAAAUGUAUAUUAAACGUGUUUAAACUUUUUAAAACUAUUAUUACAUUAACAAAUUAUAAAGAUAAUAAUUUUACCAAAAAUUGUAUCGAAUUAUAUUAUAAUUUAUUUUAUUCUAUACCUAUAGAAUUAUUUUUUUUUAUUUUAUUUUACAUCAUUUUAUAUUAUACAAAUAAUUUUAAUUACCUCUAUUCUUUUAUUCAAUUUUUUUAUAAAAAAUAUGAAAUUGUAAAUAAUACAACAAUGCAUAGUUCUAUAAUUAAUUAUUUAUUAUAUAAUAGAGUAAAAUGUUUAACCAUAUAUGAUAAAUUUACCGAUUUAUAUAUGUUUAUAAAAAAAAUAUAUUUAAAUAAAGACUUUUUAAUAAAUGUUGAAAAUAAUACAGAAAUUAUAACGAUUCUAAAAAUUAUGUUGAUAAUAAAGAGGUAUUACAAUGUAAAUAAUGUAUCUAAUGCGGAAAUAUCUGAUGUAAAUCAAACAAAAGAACCAACUGAUGAUACAACUACGGAGAAAACAAAUUGCAACAAGUCAAGCGAAGAAGUUUACUUAACAUUUUCGAAGAUACUUACACGAAAAUACAAACAAGAUAACCAAUUAAAUGACAGUGAUAAACAAAAUAAAAUGGAAGAUUAUAAUGGAAUCCCACUAAAUAAAAAACAAAAAGAUAGUAGCGAUUGCAUAGAAAAUUGUAGUGACAGUAUGUACUACAGUAGUGAUAACACUCACACUAAGUACACAAAAUACGAUAGUUAUAUAAAAAUAAAAGUUGAAAAAAACAGGUAUAAUAUUUUUAAAAGUAUACUUAUUCACAACUUUGAAAUUUGUUAUAGUUACAAAAUUAUAAUAAAAUUAUUAAAAUUAUUAAAAAUAAAAAACGAAGAAUUAAAAAAAAGUAUAUUAUUACUUAUAUAUAUGUCACAGUUAACAAACAGAAAUAAAUUACUUGAAUUCUUUUUAAUAUUAUUUGCUAUAUUAUUUCAAAAUGAUAAAUUAAAUAAAAAAGAAAAAUGGAAAAUACAAAAAAGUACUAUAUAUUAUACUAAACAUUCUAAACACUACAUACAUUAUUUAUAUAACUUCUGUUUUUUUAUUUUCUCACAAUUGUCAUUAAAUUAUUCUGUAUAUAUAAAUACUAUAUAUAAGUUACUGUUAAAAAAAAAACAAAAUACAACAGUAACACAUAAAGAACAUAAAAAUGGUGUCUUACUACAACAUGGUGAUACACCAUCUGACAAAAUUAAGCAUAAAAAAAAAAAAAAAAAAAAAAAAAUAAAUCAACAAAUUUACCACAUUUAUAAUACCUUCAUAAAUGUAAAUGACAUAUUGAAAAUUCCUAAUUUUGGUACAGAACAAAAAAAGAAAAAAGAAAUUAACUCGAGUAAUAAAAUUGAGCAUAUUAUCGAUAACGACUAUAGUAGUAACGACUAUAAUGGUAACGACUAUAGUGGUAACGACUAUAGUGGUAACGACUAUAAUGGUAAGGACUAUAAUGGUAACUAUAGUAGUAACGACUAUAAUGGUAACGACUAUAAUGGUAACGACUGUAGUGGUAACAAUUUUAGCAGUUAUAAUAUUGGUUCAGUACAUGAUAAACAAAAGAUGUAUUCUGAAAAAAAGCGCUUUUUUAUAUAUAAUAAAAGGAAUAAAAAUGAUAAAAUUUGUAAUGAUGAUGAUUAUGAAAUGCGUAGUAAUGAGGUAAUUUAUAUACCCGAGUGUAACGAUAUGGACGAACAUAAUACAAAACUAAAAAUGCUAAACAAGAACAAACAAUCAACAAUGGACAUAAAAAAACACAAACAUUUUGAAGAAAUAGAUGAAAGUAAGGACAUUACAUGGAGUGAUAAUAUUUUUUAUAAUCAAUAUAUAGAAUCAUAUAAAGAAGACGUUAUAUAUUCAUCAUCUUCUUUAUCUUUGUUUUCUUUUCCUUAUAAUAAUUUUGAAAGUAACUGUUUUAAUUAUAAAAUUAAUGAAGGAUAUAUAGAAAAUGAAAAAACGUUGAAAUAUCACAAUAUUACUAAUUACAGUAUGGUUAAAGAUGUCACUAAUUCGUUUUCUUUUCAAGAACAUUAUAUUGAUGAUACAUUUACAUCACAUUUGAGUAAUGCUAAUUCGGAUCAUGUUGAACAAUCUGAUAGUGAUCAUUCAGAUUCUUGUAGUCUAUUUUGUCAUAAACACAUAGAUAGUAGUAAAUCAGAAAAUUCUAAUAAGUUUAACAGUCCUAACAAGUUGAACAAAGGAAAUUUUGUUGAAGCCAUCGGAAAUAAUAAUAACAAAAAUCUGUCAAAACACAUAAAAGAUAAAGUUUCAACAAAUCUUAAACAAGUACAAGAAUCAAAAAAACAAACAAACUUAUAUAAUUAUACUAAUAUAAAUACCUUUAAAAAAUACAAUUCGGAUGGAAAAUAUUAUAAAAAUAUACUUGUUGAAGCUUUAAAAAAGGCAAAUAAAAAAAUAAAUAAAUUUAAUUUAACUGAAUGUAAAAUUGAUUAUAUUGUUAAAACGGUUGAAGAGAUUAAAAAGUUAUUAAGGAGAGAGGAAGGUAAUAUAAAGGUUAGAAAUCCGGAUUUGUAUUUACACUAUUAUUAUAAUGGUACUAUUCGCAAUCAUAGUCGUAGUCACAUCCGUAGUCGUAGUCACAUCCGUAGUCGUAGUCAUAUCCGUAGUCGUAGUCAUAUCCGUAGUCGUAGUCACAUCCGUAGUCGUAGCCACAUCCGUAGUGAUAAUUACAGCCACAGUGAUAACCACAAUGAUAACCACAAUGAUAAGCACAAUGAUAAGCACAAUGAUAACUACAGUGAUAGCCACAGUGAUAACUACAGUGAUAACUACAGUGAUAGCCACAGUGAUAAUAUUAGUAAUAAAACUAAAUCCAAUGAACCACCUGAUUACCCAAAUAAACAAACAGAAGAAGUAGAUAAACGUCCCAAUUUGUAUAUAUCACUUAUUCAUAACGAUUUAUAUUUUGCAUGUUUGCAUAUGUUAAACACAAAAAAAUACAUAUUUUUUUAUAUGUUCAUAAGAAGAAUAAUACUAAAUGAUAUUAUUUCAAUUAAACAAAAAAUUAAGAUAUUUGAUACUUUUCUUAUCAGUAUUUAUGAUUCAAAUAUAAUUAAUGAAAAAAGUUUGAAAGUAACAAAUGAAGAUAUUAUAAACAACAUAUCGUUGAGUAAGCAUGUAAAUAUAUUCGAUCAAAAUAUUGGUUAUUAUUUUUUUAAAAAAGUAGUACUAUUAAUUACAAUUAUAAUAUAUUUACUAUUACAUUUGCGAGCUAGUAACAUACAUUAUAUUGAUAUAAAGAAGUUACUAUGUGAAGAUAAUUAUAAAAAGGACAUCGUAAAAACAUUAAGUAAACAGAUCCGAGAUAACAUUUUAAUCAAAUUAAUAAAAAUAACCGAGCUAAUGAAACAAAACUUUCAAUAUAUGACUUAUACAAUUAUUAAAAAACAGAAUAUGUUUAUUUUUAAUUUACAAAUGAAACCAUGUAUUGAAAUGGCUCCUGCAGGAGUUACAAUUGUAAACAAACUUGACAAUACCCUUACAACUUCCACAACAUUUAGUAAUAAAGUUGACAAAAAAAAAACCUAUUCCGAAUAUUAUGACAAAAAAGAACAAACAAAUAAAUAUAUAUUCGAAAUAGAAACAGAAAAACAAAUAUUAAAUGAGUUACAAAAAAAAAAAAAAAAUUCACUUUUUACUUAUGUAUUACAACAUUUAAAAAAUAUAAAUCAUAACCUUCCAUUUUUAUUGAAAAUAUUAUUUUAUAUAUACGAAACAUUACUAUAUUAUCUUUGUCCUGCUAUUUAUUUUAUUAAAUUUUCUUACUAUAAUUUUAACAUGCAUAGUCUUUUUUAUUCUUUAUCGAAAUUGUUUAAGAAAAUGUUAAACACAGAAUUGAUUGACAGAGUUAUAGAGUUAAGAAUGACAUUUUCAUACAUAUAUGAUCAGUAUUUACAGAUAGGUAAUUAUUGUAUUAUUGGAAAUACGUAUGUACCUGAUCCAGUGUUAAAAAAUGGUGAAAAUAUAACCAAAAUUAACUUUAAAAAUGUGUUGGAAGAAUGUAUAGAACGGGUACAUAAAGUGCACAAAUGUCAGGAAAAACGUAUAGAAGGAGAGUAUGUGACAGGUCAAGAUUUUAAUCAAACCAUUAAUCCAAACAGUACAGCCAGUAGUAACAGUACAGCCAGUAGUAACAGUAGUAACGGUAGUAACGGUAGUAGUUAUACUACGAAUAGUGAUAUCCAAAAUAGUAAUAACAAAAUUGAGAAACAAAACAAAAUGUAUAAUUUGAGUGAAAAAGAAUACAACUACAUAAUUUUUUUUUUAUUACUAAAACAAUCAAACAUUUUAAAUGGUUUUAAUUUUUUUAUAAACAAAUUACAAUACGAAAACCCAUCUUUUCACACAGACUGUACAAAUAUGUUACAAAAAAAAGAAGUUCAACAAAUUUCAACUUAUAAUUUAUGUGACGAUUCUGUUUAUAUAAAUAAGAUUGGUUUGUUCAAUCAAUUAAAUAUACCAAUUUGGAUAUAUGAUUUGUGUUUUUUAUUAACACGAUUAAAUAUAAAAUUAAAUCCAUUUUUCUUUUUUAGUAACACAAAUGAAUAUGCACGAGUAAAAAAAUUAUUUGAUUAUCACACAGAUGAUUAUAUGAAAUAUUAUAUACUUUUACAUUUAUUGUUAAAAAAAAAAAAAAAAAAAAUUUUUUUAUUUGACUCUAUUUGUAAUAUAAAAAAUAGUAUAUAUAGAUAUUUUUACAUAAACAAAAAAUAUCAUAAAUUGUACAUAUCCUUUUUUAUGUUUUAUACGAUAAGUAAAUUGCGUUUGUCAAGUCAGUCAGCACAAGAUGAUUUACAGAACCAGUCACAUGAAAUUCAAACCAAAAUGUUCCCAGAUGUAAUUAUUUUUAAUAAUGUACUGAAUGAUUCAUAUCAAAAUGUCAAAAACGAUAUAGAAAUCAAAUUUGAAAAUUCUUUAUUUAUAGAUAAAAAUAAACUAAAAAAAUUUUACAAGUUUUAUAAUUUUAUUGAUAUUUUUCGUAUAUAUAACAAAAAAAACUUUAUUAAAUUAAUAAUAAAUCAAAUAUAUCAAGUCGAUUUAUUACUAGUGUUGUUUUUAGUCAAUAAAGAAAAUAAAAAUAUAAUAAAACAUAUCCUUUUUAGAUUAAUCAUAUUAGUUUUUUUUUCAACAUUAAAAAAAAGUAACUUUUGUAUAUCUCAGUUUGAUUUUUUUGUUAAACAGGCUGUUAUGUUUAAGAAUGAACAUGGCAAGUUGGAUUUGCAGGAUCAAAUAUGUUUGAAUCAUUCUACCCGUAAGGAUAGUAAUGUAGAUAUAAUUGUAAAUUCUAAUACUUACAACUCUGAUAAAAGUAGUAUAACCCACUACAACAAAUCAAUUGUUAAUUACGAUCUGUUUAUUAUUGAUGAAGAUGCUUAUUUGGAUAAAAAAUUGUUACCUACUAAUGAAGAAGAAAUUGGAGACGUGUUAAAAAAAGUUACAUUAAUUAAAAAUGAAAGUGAAAAAAGUGAAAAAAGUGGAAAAAAUGAAAAAAGUGGAAAAAAUGAAAAAAGUGAAAAAAAUGAAAAAAGNNNNNNNNNNUGA